GACGAACGCUGGCGGCGUGCUUAACACAUGCAAGUCGAACGGUAAGGCCCUUCGGGGUACACGAGUGGCGAACGGGUGAGUAACACGUGGGUGAUCUGCCCUGCACUUCGGGAUAAGCCUGGGAAACUGGGUCUAAUACCGGAUAGGACCCUGGGAUGCAUGUCCUGGGGUGGAAAGCUUUUGCGGUGUGGGAUGGGCCCGCGGCCUAUCAGCUUGUUGGUGGGGUGAUGGCCUACCAAGGCGACGACGGGUAGCCGGCCUGAGAGGGUGACCGGCCACACUGGGACUGAGAUACGGCCCAGACUCCUACGGGAGGCAGCAGUGGGGAAUAUUGCACAAUGGGCGCAAGCCUGAUGCAGCGACGCCGCGUGAGGGAUGACGGCCUUCGGGUUGUAAACCUCUUUCAGCAUCGACGAAGCGAAAGUGACGGUAGGUGCAGAAGAAGGACCGGCCAACUACGUGCCAGCAGCCGCGGUAA
Molecule: ribosomal RNA, 478 nt
Filed under: uncultured bacterium
Lineage: Bacteria
Description: partial 16S ribosomal RNA
Rfam family: Bacterial small subunit ribosomal RNA
Source: RNAcentral